GGGCAGAGGGGGAGGGGGACGAAGCUGGUGGCGAAGCGGCUCAGGAGAACCGGGGCUGGAGGAGCGGCAAGAGUACCCAGAAAGUGCCCUCUCCGCGGGGGUCUGCGGCCAAGGAGGAUCCUGCUCGUGGAAUAGCUACCAAAUCGGCCUCCAGCCCACCCCAGGGGCGGGGUAGAGAAAGGGCAAACUGUGACCGGGACUUGUGCACCCGAUUAAUUGAAUAUUAAUCACCCCAAGGCCUAGGCCAACCGCCACCCAGAGAGUGGCAGCUGCAGAACCCAAAGACGUGGAGCCGGGCUGGGGGUGGGGAAGGGAGGCCGCCACAGCUCCCGCCCCGCCGGCAGUUUAACUGCUUCCGCAGCCUCAGGCCUCCCGGUGCGACCCCGGCUGCGACUCGGAUCCGUUUAUUCCAAAUGUCCCAGCCCACGCCGUGCCCAGAGUGUGGCGACACGAGGCCAAACUGCACGGAGUCUUGCUGUGUUGCCCAGGCUGGAGUGCAGUGGCAUGAUCUCUGUUCACUUCAACCUCCGCCUCCUGAGUUCAAGCGAUUCUCCUGCCUCAGCUUCCCAAGCAGCUGGACUACAGGUAUGUGCCACCAUGCCCGGCUAAUUUUUAUAAUUUUAGUAGAGACGGAGCUUCACCAUGUUGGCCAGGCUGGUCUCAAACUCCUGACCUCAGGUGAUCUGCCUGCCUCUGCCUCCCAAAGUACUGGGAUUACAUGUGUGAGCCAUAGCAUCUGGCCCAGCCAAGCCUAUAACUCUUAAUCUCUGUGUUCUCUCUGCAGCAGGGAUGACGGCGCUCCUGGAGGCUGGCUGGGAAGCUGGUCAGGGUCCCAGGACUCUGACACCCCCAAUGGCCCUUGUAGCCUUGGGGAGUCCUGUGAUCCAAGGCUGGAGGACUGAGUCCCCUCCAGGUCUCAUAGCAGACGAAUAGCAGCUUCACCCAGGCCUGUUUUGUCGUGGCCCCAUUCAGAGGCCGCCCUCCUCUGUGGUUUAGAGCAUGCCCUGGAAUCCCUAGCACAACCAGGUGACGAGAGUUCCCCGCUGGCCCCCUGCCGCGGGAACACAAAGUACCUUUGCACAUAACCUUUCUUUGUCCUCUGCUGGUGACGGCAAAUAGGGCAGGCCCAGGGCAACGUGGUAAGGUGGCAGAAGUUUGUUUUGGACAGUGUUUGCAGCUUCUCUGUUCCCUUUCCACCAGGGGUUACCUCCUGCUGGCUGACCCCUUCCUGUGCUGCGGGCUGGAAUAUAGGGUUUAACCCUGUUAUAACCCAGAGGAACACAAAAGGAGGAACAUCAGGCUUUAUGGAGAGACUGGAAAUGAAGUGGAGGUUUUCCUUGCUCAUGAAACCUGGCUCACCCUACAGGUAGUCCCAAAGAGAGCUUGUGAUUUUCUUUCCCCUUUGGUCCCCCGACCCCUUCAGAGCUCUCUGGGAAGCUAUGCUCUCUCACUGCUUUCCCUCCCCUGAUCAGAGUCCCUGUGCCAAGGCUCCUGGAUACUGGGGCUGGAAAACCUCCUGUCCCUUCCACCACUCCUGUGCCCUCCAGGGAAGGGGUCUGGGGUCUCGGGGCUCACCCCCACCUGUGUGCCAGUCCCUGUGCUAGGCCUGCACAGACAUCAGCUCGCUGAUCACUACGAGAACCUCAACUCUUCUCCCCAUUUCAUGAGGACACCGAGGCUCAGAGGUGUUCGUGAUACUCAAGAUCACACUGCCAGAGCGUGAGUUACUGGGAUUUGAACUUUGGUCCGUGUGGCUGCAAAGCCAGUGGCUGCUAUGAUUCUCUUUCCACUUGCUGCAGCCCACGUCCCUCUGGGCAAGUCUGACACCCUAGCUGCCCUCAACUGCCUGGCCCCGUGGCGUCCCAGAGGGCGAGGGGAGCACAGGGACUGGGCACAGAGGCCAGCUGGGGUCAAGGCAAGGGGGCUGCCCAGCACAGUGGUUCUGCUCCAGAGGUGCAGUCAGACUGCCUGGGUUGGCUCAUGCCUGGGUCUGUCAUUGUGGGCAGCGUGACCAGCCUAAACCUCAGUUUUCUCUUUUGUCACCUAUGUGCUAAAAAUACUUAUUUCUGGAGAUUCUUGUGAGGAUUAAAUGAGAUCUUCCAAGCCAAGUGCUUUGCAUAGUGACGCAGGGUAGGUGCUCAAGAAAUUUUGUUGUCUGCCUGUGGUCUGGGUGGGGGCAGGGUGGGGCUGCGAUGGUGAAGAAAUGACACAGAAACCCACAGGAAACUUCAUCAUCUAGAUGGUACAUGGAUGGCACAUUCAAGGGAAGUAACGAAACGAGAAGAAAAAACUUUUACAUUUUGGCUGAGCAAAGGCAACAAUAUAAUUACCAUCAUUUAUAAAAACUGCCUCCCAUUAAUGUCUAAUUCCCACAAAGCGCAACAAUGAUUAUCUCAUUAACUA
RNAcentral lists this long non-coding RNA (2403 nucleotides) under Homo sapiens (human). RNAcentral describes it as "HSALNT0390621". The record is from RNAcentral. Lineage: Eukaryota; Metazoa; Chordata; Mammalia; Primates; Hominidae.